RNAcentral lists this transfer RNA (74 nucleotides) under Rhipicephalus microplus (southern cattle tick). RNAcentral describes it as "tRNA-Ile". It matches the Rfam family "tRNA". From Rfam's summary of the family: Transfer RNA (tRNA) molecules are approximately 80 nucleotides in length. Their secondary structure includes four short double-helical elements and three loops (D, anti-codon, and T loops). The record is from Rfam by way of RNAcentral. Lineage: Eukaryota; Metazoa; Arthropoda; Arachnida; Ixodida; Ixodidae.
GGCCUGCUAGCUCAGUCAGUUGAAGCAUCGUGCUAAUAACGCGAAGGUCGUAGGUUCGAUCCCUGCGCAGGCCA